This is a long non-coding RNA of Rosa chinensis, 1974 nucleotides long. RefSeq lists it as uncharacterized. Lineage: Eukaryota; Viridiplantae; Streptophyta; Magnoliopsida; Rosales; Rosaceae. The record is from RefSeq and is a predicted model, not a curated record. The transcript is spliced from 7 exons.
ACACUUAGAAAAAAUUGCGCCCGACCCCAAAACUGAAACAGAUCAAAAACCCGACCCCAACUCUCGCUCGACUCCUUCAUUCUGAGCUCACCCCAAAACAGAUCUCCUCCCAAACUCGAUCUCCAUUCUCAACCCGACCCCAAACUUGACCUCCUCCUCCAUUCUCUAGCUCAGACCCGGACCCAGCCUCCUCCGCCUUUCUCCGCAUCCGCCUCCGCCUCCGACCUCAACCUUAGCCCCCUCCUCCUUUCUCCUUCUUCGUCUCAGAAACAAUGAACGCGAAGAACACCCCCACAGAGACCACCGGCGAGUCUCGAUUCUUGGGAACUAUCUCCGCCUCAUCGAUUCAAAACCUCCACCCCAGAUCCAUCUCAACCAAGCACGGAAAAUCCUUCUUCAGCCCCAAAAUUGCCGCAUCAAUUGCCCCAAAAUUGCUCGCCCUCGAAAGCGUUUCGCCGAGCUCGUUAAAGGACAAGGUUUAUAGGGUCUUCUGCAGGGAAAAGCGUAAGCUCGCCGGUAGAAAGGAUGGAACCAUGUCUAAAUGUGAAUCCCAACUCAGUUGCUUACAUUUCUGACAGUACAUGGUGACAUGCAUAUUCUAGACAUUGCUGUGGAUUUGCCUUCUGUGACUGAAAUUUUCAGGUCAAAAUAUUCAACUACUCUUCUCUGAACUCGAUUAAGAUGUCAGAUCAACAGACCGGCCUCCGAUCACUUUAUCUAUUAUCUGUUGGUUCUUCUUGCUUGGUCUACUUGGGUCAGUUGAUAUUUUCGUUUGUGAUGAAAUCCCAUGUUGGACAUUCAAUCAAAGAUUGUAGCUUUGGGGUUGGUGGUGGAUUGUGUUUGGUGGGUUUGAUUUGAAAUGUGUUUUUACAGAGAAUCCCGUCGUAUUCUCACAUGUGGUCUGGGCAUCGAACUCCCUCAUGGUUAUCUAUUUAACUAUUUUCUAGAGAAUCCUGUCGUAAAUUGUGCUCCUUUUGUAUAUCAAUCCUUUAUUAACUACUAAUACUUUGAUUUCUCUCAAUUGCAACAAGUCAUGAGUUACUUUUUCAUAGAAAAAUUUUAAAUGAUGGAAGGGUAGGGAGUUUUCCUCUUUGAUGGUUUCGUUAGAGAGACUAUAAUUGUAAAUUUAAAAUGUAAUGUGGAAUUUAUAUGUCAAGUUAAUUUAUAUGUAGUUGAUUUUUGAUUUUUAUGAAAGUUAAGAUGAUUACAUGUUUAAAUACAGUGAUGGCAUCAAAAGGUAUUUCGAGAGGAACAAAGAGAAUAUUAAGAGAGUAUGAUGUUGAAAGUCGUGAUAAUCAAGAAAGAUUCAACAAAUUUGUACUGCUCAAAACUCUGCUGUAAGAAGAACUGAAUCUGAUCAUUUGUGUUUUGGUGGGAAUGAGGAUCGUCCAGUUAACUCAAAGAGUGUUCCAUGAACAAACUGCUGGUGUUGGAGUUAGUGCAGCAUCAAAUAUUCAUAAUGUGGUUGCAGAAGUUGUUGCCCAAGGGCGGGUGAUUGAAGCAGAGGAUAUAUACGGUUUGUAUUUGUUUUUGUGCCCGUGAGGCAUAAGCUCCUCCACUGGUUGCUGCUUUGGAUUGUGAGAGAAUAAUUACCGUGCUUCGGGUGGUUUUGGGUUUAGAGUUAUCUCUCAAGGAAUGAGCUUUUCCUCUGUAAAGAUGGUGAGAGUUCUGAAGUAACCCUGGAACAAAAAAAGAGGGAUGAGGUAUUUCUCAAGGAUAGAAUACCUCGAGGUGUGCAUUGAAGUGGCUGAUUAUAUACAGAGUUUGGUGUAAGACUUUUGGCUUCCAUGAUUUUGAGUAAGGCUAAUUUUUGCUUUGAAGCAAAGUUUGGUGUAGAACAUACUUUUGUAGUUGGUUGCUAAUAUGUUUCUAAGCUAGCCUUUGUAGGUUUUGGGUUUUAUUUUGUGAAUUAUGUUGAAUCAUGAAUUUGGAAAGAAAAUUAAUGGAAAGCUCCAAUUUUUGGGUGAUGAGAAA